GAGCGUGCUUUCGAUACGGGUUGACUUGAGGAAGGUAGGGGAGAAUGGAAUUCCUGGUGGAGCGGUGGAAUGCGCAGAUAUCAGGAGGAACACCAGUGGCGAAGGCGGUUCUCUGGGCCUUUCCUGACGCUGAGGAGCGAAAGCGUGGGGAGCGAACAGGCUUAGAUACCCUGGUAGUCCACGCUGUAAACGGUGGGUACUAGGUGUGGGGUCCAUUCCACGGGUUCCGCGCCGUAGCUAACGCUUUAAGUACCCCGCCUGGGGAGUACGGCCGCAAGGCUAAAACUCAAAGGAAUUGACGGGGCCCCGCACAAGCGGCGGAGCAUGCGGAUUAAUUCGAUGCAACGCGUAGAACCUUACCUGGGUUUGACAUGGAUCGGGAGUGCUCAGAGAUGGGUGUGCCUCUUUUGGGGUCGGUUCACAGGUGGUGCAUGGCUGUCGUCAGCUCGUGUCGUGAGAUGUU
This 463-nucleotide ribosomal RNA is filed under the name uncultured Propionibacterium sp. RNAcentral describes it as "bacterial SSU rRNA". It matches the Rfam family "Bacterial small subunit ribosomal RNA", at positions 617 to 1076 of the family's 1533-position model. Lineage: Bacteria; Bacillati; Actinomycetota; Actinomycetes; Propionibacteriales; Propionibacteriaceae. The record is from RNAcentral.